This 223-nucleotide unclassified non-coding RNA is filed under the name plant metagenome. RNAcentral describes it as "partial contains small subunit ribosomal RNA, internal transcribed spacer 1, and 5.8S ribosomal RNA". The record is from RNAcentral.
UUUCCGUAGGUGAACCUGCGGAAGGAUCAUUAUCAUGUAAUUCAGUCCCCUUGGCUGUGUUAUAUAUAUAUCCACUCUGUGUACCUUCUCCUGUUGCUUCCGCUGGGUGUGUAAUCCGCCCGGCGGAAGGGUAAAAAUAACCUCUGAGUAUUGAUGAAAUCUCUGUCUGAACCGAAUAGAAAGAAAAAUGUUAAAACUUUCAGCAACGGAUCUCUUGGUUCUC